Molecule: signal recognition particle RNA, 148 nt
Filed under: Nomascus leucogenys (northern white-cheeked gibbon)
Lineage: Eukaryota; Metazoa; Chordata; Mammalia; Primates; Hylobatidae
Description: Metazoan signal recognition particle RNA
Rfam family: Metazoan signal recognition particle RNA
About the family: The signal recognition particle (SRP) is a universally conserved ribonucleoprotein. It is involved in the co-translational targeting of proteins to membranes. The eukaryotic SRP consists of a 300-nucleotide 7S RNA and six proteins: SRPs 72, 68, 54, 19, 14, and 9.
Source: Rfam by way of RNAcentral
GCUGGGCAUGGUGGUGGAUGCUUGUAGUCCCAGCUACUUGGGAGGCUGAGGUGGGAGGAUCCCUUGAGCCCAGGAGUCUGAGGUUGCAGUGAGCUGUAAUCGCACCACUGCACUCCAGCCUGGGCAACAGAGCGAGACUCCAUCUCAA